Molecule: ribosomal RNA, 253 nt
Filed under: uncultured Lactobacillus sp.
Lineage: Bacteria; Bacillati; Bacillota; Bacilli; Lactobacillales; Lactobacillaceae
Description: partial 16S ribosomal RNA
Rfam family: Bacterial small subunit ribosomal RNA
Source: RNAcentral
UACGUAGGUGGCGAGCGUUAUCCGGAAUGAUUGGGCGUAAAGGGUGCGCAGGCGGAAAGAUAAGUCUGAUGUGAAAGCCCCCGGCUUAACCGAGGAAUUGCAUCGGAAACUGUGUUUCUUGAGUGCAGAAGAGGAGAGUGGAACUCCAUGUGUAGCGGUGGAAUGCGUAGAUAUAUGGAAGAACACCAGUGGCGAAGGCGGCUCUCUGGUCUGUAACUGACGCUGAGGCUCGAAAGCGUGGGGAGCAAACAGG